Molecule: ribosomal RNA, 440 nt
Filed under: uncultured bacterium
Lineage: Bacteria
Description: partial 16S ribosomal RNA
Rfam family: Bacterial small subunit ribosomal RNA
Source: RNAcentral
CCUACGGGGUGCAGCAGUGGGGGAUAUUGCACAAUGGGGGAAACCCUGAUGCAGCGACGCCGCGUGUGGGAAGACGGUCCUCUGGAUUGUAAACCACUGUCCCCAGGGACGAAGAUGACGGUACCUGGGGCUGAAGCUUCGGCUCACUACGUGCCAGCAGCCGCGGUAAUACGUAGGGAGCGAGCGUUGUCCGGAAUUACUGGGUGUAAAGGGAGCGUAGGCGGGACUGCAAGUUGGGUGUAAAAUCUACCGGCUCAACCGGUAGCCGCACUCAAAACUGCAGUUCUUGAGUGAAGUAGAGGCAGGCGGAAUUCCUAGUGUAGCGGUGAAAUGCGUAGAUAUUAGGAGGAACACCAGUGGCGAAGGCGGCCUGCUGGGCUGUUACUGACGCUGAGGCUCGAAAGUGUGGGGAGCAAACAGGAUUAGAUACCCCUGUAGUC